Molecule: ribosomal RNA, 253 nt
Filed under: uncultured bacterium
Lineage: Bacteria
Description: partial 16S ribosomal RNA
Rfam family: Bacterial small subunit ribosomal RNA
Source: RNAcentral
UACAGAGGUCUCAAGCGUUGUUCGGAUUCAUUGGGCGUAAAGGGUGCGUAGGUGGCGCCGUAAGUCGGGUGUGAAAUUUCGGAGCUUAACUCCGAAACUGCAUUCGAUACUGCGGUGCUUGAGGACUGGAGAGGAGACUGGAAUUCACGGUGUAGCAGUGAAAUGCGUAGAUAUCGUGAGGAAGACCAGUGGCGAAGGCGGGUCUCUGGACAGUUCCUGACGCUGAGGCGCGAAGGCCAGGGGAGCAAACGGG